Molecule: ribosomal RNA, 458 nt
Filed under: uncultured marine microorganism
Description: bacterial SSU rRNA
Rfam family: Bacterial small subunit ribosomal RNA
Source: RNAcentral
GGGGAAUUUUCCGCAAUGGGCGAAAGCCUGACGGAGCAAUACCGCGUGAGGGAGGAAUGCCUUUGGGUUGUAAACCUCUUUUCUCAGGGAAGAAGAUCUGACGGUACCUGAGGAAUAAGUACCGGCUAACUCCGUGCCAGCAGCCGCGGUAAUACGGAGGAUGCAAGCGUUAUCCGGAAUCAUUGGGCGUAAAGCGUCCGCAGGUGGUUUCCAAAGUCUGCUGUUAAAGACUGGAGCUCAACUCCGGAACGGCGGUGGAAACUUGGAAACUAGAGUUCGGUAGGGGUAGCAGGAAUUCCCAGUGUAGCGGUGAAAUGCGUAGAUAUUGGGAAGAACAUCGGUGGCGAAGGCGUGCUACUGGACCGUAACUGACACUCAGGGACGAAAGCUAGGGGAGCGAAAGGGAUUAGAUACCCCUGUAGUCCUAGCUGUAAACGAUGGAAACUAGGUGUGGCUUG